RNAcentral lists this transfer RNA (78 nucleotides) under bacterium. RNAcentral's name for it is "tRNA-Met". It matches the Rfam family "tRNA". From Rfam's summary of the family: Transfer RNA (tRNA) molecules are approximately 80 nucleotides in length. Their secondary structure includes four short double-helical elements and three loops (D, anti-codon, and T loops). The record is from RNAcentral.
GGGGAGUUAGCUCAAUCAGGUUAGAGCAUCCGUCUCAUACACGGCAGGUUCUCGGUUCGAGUCCGAGGCUCCCUACCA